GAUGAACGCUGGCGGCGUGCCUAAUACAUGCAAGUCGAACGCUUCACUUCGGUGAAGAGUGGCGAACGGGUGAGUAAUACAUAAGUAACCUGGCAUCUACAGGGGGAUAACUGAUGGAAACGUCAGCUAAGGCCGCAUAGGUGUAGAGAUCGCAUGAACUCUAUAUGAAAAGUGCUACGGGACUGGUAGAUGAUGGACUUAUGGCGCAUUAGCUUGUUGGUAGGGUAACGGCCUACCAAGGCGACGAUGCGUAGCCGACCUGAGAGGGUGACCGGCCACACUGGGACUGAGACACGGCCCAGACUCCUACGGGAGGCAGCAGUAGGGAAUUUUCGGCAAUGGGGGAAACCCUGACCGAGCAACGCCGCGUGAAGGAAGAAGUAAUUCGUUAUGUAAACUUCUGUCAUAGAGGAAGAACGGUGGAUAUAGGGAAUGAUAUCCAAGUGACGGUACUCUAUAAGAAAGCCACGGCUA
RNAcentral lists this ribosomal RNA (474 nucleotides) under uncultured bacterium. RNAcentral's name for it is "bacterial SSU rRNA". It matches the Rfam family "Bacterial small subunit ribosomal RNA", at positions 28 to 499 of the family's 1533-position model. The record is from RNAcentral.